GAUGAACGCUGGCGGCGUGCCUAAUACAUGCAAGUCGAGCGAACAGACGAGGAGCUUGCUCCUCUGACGUUAGCGGCGGACGGGUGAGUAACACGUGGAUAACCUACCUAUAAGACUGGGAUAACUUCGGGAAACCGAAGCUAAUACCGGAUAACAUGUUGAACCGCAUGGUUCAACAGUGAAAGACGGUCUUGCUGUCACUUAUAGAUGGAUCCGCGCCGCAUUAGCUAGUUGGUAAGGUAACGGCUUACCAAGGCAACGAUGCGUAGCCGACCUGAGAGGGUGAUCGGCCACACUGGAACUGAGACACGGUCCAGACUCCUACGGGAGGCAGCAGUAGGGAAUAUUCGGCAAUGGGCGAAAGCCUGACGGAGCAACGCCGCGUGAGUGAAGAAGGUCUUCGGAUCGUAAAACUCUGUUAUUAGGGAAGAACAAAUGUGUAAGUAACUAUGCACGUCUUGACGGUACCUAAUCAGAAAGCCACGGCUAACUACGUG
RNAcentral lists this ribosomal RNA (497 nucleotides) under uncultured bacterium. RNAcentral describes it as "partial 16S ribosomal RNA". It matches the Rfam family "Bacterial small subunit ribosomal RNA", at positions 28 to 507 of the family's 1533-position model. The record is from RNAcentral.